AAAAAAAAUCAGCAAGAACACCAGUGAGAAUCCCCACUACUCCUUUCUCUUUACUAGCUCAAUCUCUUUCUAGCCUAGCUUAAAGCGUGUCUGGACUAUAAGUGUCCAGUAGGUUUGUCCCAGGAGAGAGGGACUCAAAUUAUUCCUGAUUUGAAGUCCUACACAAAGAUCCUGAGUGGUAGGAGUCAUUGGCCAAAACCGCAAAUUCAGGUACAGAAAUCGAAACCAGGAACCAGUAGUUUGGGG
Molecule: long non-coding RNA, 246 nt
Filed under: Capra hircus (goat)
Lineage: Eukaryota; Metazoa; Chordata; Mammalia; Artiodactyla; Bovidae
Description: lncRNA (ENSCHIG00000006907.1)
Source: RNAcentral